This 87-nucleotide transfer RNA is filed under the name Stachybotrys elegans. It matches the Rfam family "tRNA". From Rfam's summary of the family: Transfer RNA (tRNA) molecules are approximately 80 nucleotides in length. Their secondary structure includes four short double-helical elements and three loops (D, anti-codon, and T loops). Further hydrogen bonds mediate the characteristic L-shaped molecular structure. tRNAs have two regions of fundamental functional importance: the anti-codon, which is responsible for specific mRNA codon recognition, and the 3' end, to which the tRNAs corresponding amino acid is attached (by aminoacyl-tRNA synthetases). tRNAs cope with the degeneracy of the genetic code in two manners: having more than one tRNA (with a specific anti-codon) for a particular amino acid; and 'wobble' base-pairing, i.e. permitting non-standard base-pairing at the 3rd anti-codon position. The record is from Rfam by way of RNAcentral. Lineage: Eukaryota; Fungi; Ascomycota; Sordariomycetes; Hypocreales; Stachybotryaceae.
GCCGCGAUCGUCUAGUGGUUAGGACAUUAGUUUGUGGUCAACUAAUCGGAAACACUGAAAACGGCGGUUCGAUUCCGCCUCGUGGCA